ACAAAGAGAAUUCCACCUUUCAAUACCACUUGGCAAACUAGUAUUAAACGUCCUAAUUUUUCCUUUACAAAAAAAAUGUUGCUAUCGAGUGACUACAGAUUAUUAUGUUCAGUGCUUGCAUCUCAAUCCGCUAGUUCUCGGUUCAAAUUAGACAGAAACAUUUAAAGAUUCAUGGUCAAUAUAUUUGAUAUGAUGAAAAUCUAUAAUCAGGGAUAAGGACGGAGUGUUUCAGACUUCCCAGGAAAGAAACAUGAACCGGAUAGAAAUAAUGAUACUGAGAUUGUUUAACAGUGAAAAUUCCGAAAAUAAUAUUAUAAAUUUCAUUUAAUAAAUGACUCAUUCCUUAAUGUUACCCUCUGUUAUAAAUACCAUUAAAAUCAUAAUCAAUUUAAUAAAAUAUUUUAUUUUUAC
This is a long non-coding RNA of Gordionus sp. m RMFG-2023, 411 nucleotides long. RefSeq lists it as uncharacterized. The record is from RefSeq and is a predicted model, not a curated record. The transcript has 3 exons. Lineage: Eukaryota; Metazoa; Nematomorpha; Gordioida; Chordodea; Parachordodidae.